Sus scrofa (pig) is the source of this 2115-nucleotide long non-coding RNA. RefSeq lists it as uncharacterized. The record is from RefSeq and is a predicted model, not a curated record. Lineage: Eukaryota; Metazoa; Chordata; Mammalia; Artiodactyla; Suidae.
UAGUAAGAUAAUCUGUAGAUCUAUCCAUGGUACUGCAAAUGGCAUUAUUCCAUUCUUUUUAAUGGCUGAGUAGUGUUCCAUUGUUCACAUAUAUCACAUCUUCCUUAUCCAUACAUCUGUCAAUGGAGCAGAGAUGAUUCUUCUAUCUGCUACACCAAUAAAAGCGUAGAAAGUCCAAUUUUCUUCCCUGUUCUCAUAGUGCCCUAUCCUCUGCUCUCCAGCCUGGUGUUUUUCACUCACCAGUUUAUGUGAUUGACAUCAUCUCCUGGAGUAUAUAUAGAUCUGUUUUAUUCUUUUUAUUGUCUGUAGAUUAAUAAUAAUCAGCAAUAUUUCUGGAGCUAGAUGUGUAUUAAUUCAUUUAACAUUCACUAACUUUAGGAUGUAAGUAUCGAUAGAUGAGGAAAUAGAGUUAAAGAAAGGUUACAAACGUGCCCGAAGUUACAAAGACAGUAAAAGCCAAGACUGAAUUCAAACCAGGAUGCCCUGGCUCCUUGGCUUGUGCUCCUGUUUGCUGAGCUCUCUGCAAUAGCUUUCUGCUUCAGGAAGGUACUGUAAGCUAUUUAACUGCCUCCCUAUGGCCAUUGUUUAAAAAUGUUUGCUUCUACAAGCAAAGCUGCAGUGAACAUCUUUGUACGUAUUUCCUUGUGUACUGUGUGGCAACUUAAAAGUAUGGAUAUAAAUGCCCUUCCCAGUCACCCCUACCCUAGACUACCCCUGUGUUGCUCCAGAACCCAGAAGAGGAGAAGAUUUGCCUUGUCACAUGGCUCAAGGAAAUUCAGUUAGUGAAGGGUCCAUUUUCCAAAGUUUUCUUGGAGCUGUGAGAUUUCAACUACAACAAAUAACUCAUAUACAUACUUGUAUCUUGUAUGGUGAAAGUGGUGGGGAGAGAGAAUGUUUUUGGUUUUGCUGAGAUUUUAUUAGUAACAUGGCUGAAAAGAUUGGCUCUCUCAAAUUCUCUGUAAGAUCCUUGCACUUAAGGGAAAUCAAGGAAAGAAAAGUGUUGUGAAUAUUAUUAAUCCUACCUUUAUAUAAGAACCUGGAUGGAGAAGAAAAAUCUUAAGAAGGUAAUUCUGAUCCCCUCUUUAAGUUAUCUUUAAAGUUUGCAGUAAUGAUAAUACUUAGGGCUUCUUUGUUGUUGUUGUUGUUGUUGGCUGCACCCACAGCACGUGGAAGUUCCCGAGCCAGGGACUGAACCUGCGCCGCAGUUGAGGCUUGCCCCACAGCCCUAGCAAUGGCAAAUUUUUAACCCACUGUGCCACAAGGGAACUCCCACCAUGUAGGGCUGUUUUUAAAAAUCCUCUUCAAAAACUGUAUGUAGCCAUAUAUUCAGAACACUUAUAAAGCCUGAACCUAGGGUAGAAAUAACCCGUUUUCACCUAUAGUUUUACCUUUUUACCUAUUGUAUUUUAAUAAAUAACACUCAUUUAAUAUUUAGAAAAUAGUCCGAAAAAAAUUUUAUUAACUUCAACUUACUAUUUCAAAGUCUAAAUUUGAAAUGGGGAGGGCUCAUGAACCCUCAGACUUUCCAGAGACCGGUAGCUUCCUCUGAAUUGCCCCUGCACUUGGUAUUUUAUUUAUUGUAUUGCCUAUUGACAUAUAUUUGACUUUUCACUGUAUUUCAUUUUCUCUAAAGCUGACCUCUCUUCUUCCAGGAACAAGAGACUUUUCCUCUUGAGCCACCGCUAACGCCUUGCUCGUGCACUUUCAGCCUGACUUUCAAUCCAUAGUUUCAUUUUCUAACAUUAUUAAUGCUACUAUUGAAGCACUGAAUCUUCAAAAAAAAAAAAAAUGUUGGUGAGAGUAAGUUUCAUUAGUGAGCAGAGAUAAUAAGUUUCACAGAACGUUCUUCUGCUGGGACAUUUCUCAUCCUGGGGUGAGUUUCACUUGACCCAACCUAGCCCAGCAUCACGUGAGCGUGUCGUCAAAAGGAAGGGGGGGGGGGAAUCAAAGCAUCUGGUCACCCUAAAUGCUAGGAUCAGAGCCUCCUCUUUUAUACCGUCUGUUGGGUCCGGGCUUCUCCGAGGAAAACAGGAAACAACCAGCUGUUCUCAGCCUGCCAAAUCCAAGUAAACAUCCACUCUGUGGAAGAGUGAAUCUGAAGUGGUUCAGUAAAAA